This 254-nucleotide ribosomal RNA is filed under the name uncultured bacterium. Its description in RNAcentral is "partial 16S ribosomal RNA". It matches the Rfam family "Bacterial small subunit ribosomal RNA", at positions 524 to 776 of the family's 1533-position model. The record is from RNAcentral.
UACGGGGGGAGCAAGCGUUGUUCGGAUUUACUGGGCGUAAAGGGCGCGUAGGCGGCCACCGCAAGUCGACUGUGAAAUCUCCGGGCUUAACCCGGAAAGGUCAGCCGAUACUGCGGGGCUAGAGUGCAGAAGGGGCAACUGGAAUUCUCGGUGUAGCGGUGAAAUGCGUAGAUAUCGGGAGGAACACCUGUGGCGAAAGCGGCGCACUGGACCACAUCUGACGCUGAGGCGCGAAAGCUAGGGGAGCAAACAGG